This 130-nucleotide microRNA precursor is filed under the name Procavia capensis (Cape rock hyrax). Its description in RNAcentral is "miRNA (ENSPCAG00000018968.1)". The stretch from base 18 to 104 matches the Rfam family "let-7 microRNA precursor family". From Rfam's summary of the family: This family represents the microRNAs (miRNA) let-7 and mir-98. let-7 was identified from a study of developmental timing in C. elegans, and was later shown to be part of a much larger class of non-coding RNAs termed miRNAs. The extents of the hairpin precursors are not generally known and are estimated based on hairpin prediction. The record is from RNAcentral. Lineage: Eukaryota; Metazoa; Chordata; Mammalia; Hyracoidea; Procaviidae.
AAGAAAAGAUUGCUCUGUCAGAGUGAGGUAGUAGAUUGUAUAGUUGUGGGGUAGCGAUUUUACCCUAUUAAGGAGAUAACUAUACAAUCUAUUGCCUUCCCUGAGGAGUAGACUUGCUGCUGCAUUGUUU